CUCGGCUCUGCCCCGGCCCCCGGCCCCCGAGCCCGGACUGGGAGCGGGGCCCCCUAAGGAUUUACGGCCGCGCCCGAAAGAGAAGCGGCGACGCGGCGGCUGCCUCUGGGACGUGCUGGGCUCGGCUCGGCUCCCCGCACGGGCCGCGGUGCCGGGGCCGAGCGGCCCGGGAGCGGCUCGGGCAGGAAGGCGGCUCUGGCCCCGCUCUCGGGGCGAUGCCGACGCCCGUUCCCGAGCAGCUGCCGCGGGUGCCGCGGAACCGCUGCGGGGUGGGAGACGCCGAGGUGGCAAUGCCCUGAGUUGGCUUCUCUGGCCUGUUUCUUUUGCUUUACUUGCAUAUUCCCUCCCCUCGUCCAGCGGGUACCUCUCCGUGCUCUCAGAAGGCAUCCAGCAGGGAAAUACGCUCGGCAGGAAAGGAAGGAAAAGGGCUGCUCUGGGGAGAGCAGUGCAACUGAGUGGUCUUAGUCUUAGCCGUCUUUCGUGGACUUGGUAUAGCUGCCUUGAACUAGAGAAUUGCUCUGGCAAAAAGAGAUGCCCACCGGUACAGCUCAUGAAAGGUGGCUUUGAACUUCUGGCUGUGGAAGUGUCAAAAAUUGUCCACUACAAGGGAGGUGCAAGUGCAAGUGUCGCAUGGAAACGAAGUCAGCAUCGCACAGGACUGCCCCUGGUUACCAUGUGUGAGUGGGGGGUGCUCGCUGUACUGGUUAGCACAGGGGGGCUGCUAAGCACCUGGCUAAAACCCCCCAGCUCUGCAGGCUCCUGAAAUGCUGUUCCCCCAGAGGUUCAGUGCUAUGCAGCUGAAGAAGAAAGAGAAACACGGUUACAAGCCCAGGCUAUCCAAACCCAGCAACUCCUUUCUCUAUAACACUGGCAGCCCCCAGCAGCCGAUAUUACACUCUGGAUUUAGCAACUGAAACCCUGAUUAAGGGCCGAAAUGCCAGUCCCAUUCUCUCUUGCACUCCCUAAUCCCAGCCCAGACUGUGCUCCUUCCUUAAUUGCUUCACCAGCACCAACUAGCAGAUAGGGUAUUUGCAAAAAGGUCACGAGGGAUCCCCGUGCAAAGCUGAGGGAAGUGGACAGAACUUCCUGCUCUCUCAUGUCACCUGCCCCGUCAUCCUUCACAGACAACUAUUGCAAUGUCAUUUGGCUGAAAGGUGUGGCACCUUUAUUAGAAAUAAAUAGCAUAGCACAUUAGCA
Long non-coding RNA from Apteryx haastii (Great spotted kiwi), 1197 nucleotides. Lineage: Eukaryota; Metazoa; Chordata; Aves; Apterygiformes; Apterygidae. The record is from Ensembl.